GUUAUUAUUAUGCAUCAACAUUUUAAUUUCAUUACAAUUAUUUAUUGUCAAUGAUUCUUAAAUUUGUUAGACUAUACAAUUAAGUAGGUUAAUGAACUGAUAAUACAUUCAUACAUAACUUUUUUUCCCAAUCAUUUUUGAACAUGAUAGAAUAGUGCAUUCUAUUAUACAUCCUAUGUGAAUAAUGUUCAUUAAUGUUAAUUUGUGUAUUAAUAAUUAUAAUCUGAAAAUCAGCCUGAAAUUGAAUAUUUAUCCUAUUGUUCAUGUCCAUAUAGCAGCCUAGGACAAUGUGAUCCGAUACCUGACCCUCUGCUGUGGCCAGGACCUGGGCUCAGGAAUCAGACGAAUUCUGAGAAAAAUUGGAACAGUGGAGCUGUGGACAGGCUACUCCUUGAAGGGCAGGAAGGGGAAGAGGGCCUUCAAUGAGCUAUCAAUCUAUGAUGCCGUCACAAGUAAGUAAAUGCACAAGUUUAGAUAGUUAUUUCUUAUAAUUUAGUAGAUAGUAUUAUUGGUCAAGUGAUGGUAAGUCAAAUGUGCAUUUAUUAACAUUUCAUUUUAAUUAAAUGCAGUUACAAACUAAAUGUAAAAUCCUACCACCUGUUAUGAUCGGAGAGAGGGGACAAAGGAAAGGUGAAGGAGAGAGGUCUCAUGGCCAAAACUGCCUCUGAGGGAAGAGAGGGACAGCCUCUGUCUCAGCAUAGGUGGAAAAGUAGUGAUAUGACAUGGAAGGUACCAUUUACAUUUUUUUCACAACAUAGGAGCGUCCCUGAAAGCACACCCCAAGGCUACCUACCAAGAGGUAGAUGACAAAAUAGCAGACACUCUCAAACAUGCACCAGCUCAUUAUAAUUUCUUUACAUUUUUUUUGUUACUUCACUUUAAUCCAGUCGGUCAGUAUAGCUAAAUUAUUGUGCUAGUACCAAAGGAAUGUAGUAGGUAGUCGACAUUAAACCGGCAUUUUUAUCAUUUGUUUACUGAAAAUAAUGACCAAUUUGUGUUAUGACUUCCAGGAGCGGGUCGAGGAAGCGACAGUGGAUGAGGAUGGAGCUGCAGCACCUGAAUUAACUUUUAGCUUUAAGCAGUUUUACAGUUCUUGAUUGGAGUGCAGUGUUCAUGUUUUUACUGACUUGUUUUUUGUGAUCUUAUUGCUGUCAUUUUGGCCUGAUUCACACAAUCUCCUCUGCACAGUUGAUGUUGAGAUGUGUCUUGUACUUGAGCUCUGUGAAGCAUUUAUUUGGGCUGCAAUUUCUGAGGCUGGUAACUCUUUUGAACUUAUCCUCUGCAGAAGAGGUAACUCUGGGUCUUCCAUUCCUGUGGCGGUCCUCAUGAGAGCCAGUUUCAUCAUAGCGCUUGAUGGUUUUUGCAACUGCACUUGAAGAAACUUUCAAAGUUCUUGACAUUUUCCAUAAUGACUGACCUUCAUGUCUUAAAGUAAUGAUGGACUGUCAUUUCUCUUUGCUUAUUUGAGCUGUUCUUGCCAUAAUAUGGACUUGGUAUUUUACCAAAUAGGGCUAUCUUCUGUAUACCCCCCUAUCUUGCAACAACACAACGCAUUAAGAAGGAACUAAAUUCCACAAAUUAACUUAACAAGGUACACCUGUGCCUUGAAAUGCAUUCCAGGUGAAUACCUGAUGAAUCUGGUUCAGAGAAUGCCAAAAGUGUGCAAAGCUGUCAUCAAGCCAAAGGGUGGCUAUUUGAAGAAUCUCAAAUAUAUUCAUUGGCAGACCAAAACAAUCCUGCGAUUGUUUAGACCAAUGUUGAACAGUCCUUACCAUGGGUGCUUCAUGCUUAAGUUUCUGCCUAUAGGUGGGCAGGAGCAGAAUGGAUGCGUG
Molecule: long non-coding RNA, 1832 nt
Filed under: Salmo salar (Atlantic salmon)
Lineage: Eukaryota; Metazoa; Chordata; Actinopteri; Salmoniformes; Salmonidae
Description: lncRNA (ENSSSAG00000098349.1, ENSSSAG00000107489.1)
Source: RNAcentral